UACGUAGGGUGCGAGCGUUGUCCGGAAUUAUUGGGCGUAAAGGGCUCGUAGGCGGUUUGUCGCGUCGGGAGUGAAAACCCAGGGCUUAACUCUGGGCUUGCUUUCGAUACGGGCAGACUAGAGGUAUGCAGGGGAGAACGGAAUUCCUGGUGUAGCGGUGAAAUGCGCAGAUAUCAGGAGGAACACCGAUGGCGAAGGCAGGUCUCUGGGCCGAUACUGACGCUGAGGAGCGAAAGCGUGGGGAGCGAACAGG
Molecule: ribosomal RNA, 253 nt
Filed under: uncultured bacterium
Lineage: Bacteria
Description: partial 16S ribosomal RNA
Rfam family: Bacterial small subunit ribosomal RNA
Source: RNAcentral